GCUCAUUAAAGUUUUCCCAUAGAUAAUAGGCAUAAAGAUACCUUUGACUAUCUUACGAGCGAGGUGACCACAAACCACCGUUGAUAGAUGUUGAUCACCCUCCAAUUCCGUUUUCAUGAACUCCUUGAGUAUAAAGGGAUUAACCCGAUUCCCUCCGAAGGCUCCUGAGAAAGUUAUUUCAGCCUGUCAGGCAGUUAAAGGCAAUUCACACUUGAAGUUAUGACAAUGAUUGUUAUUUUCUUUCUUUUUUCUAAAGCCUAUAAACUAACUAAGAGAGACUUUCAUUGGAAUUGUACCACUUGUGAUUAGGAAAUUCCUUCUUGAAUCUUUAGUAAUAGCUCUCCGGAGAAUCUCUUGACUAGUCAAUCGACGGUCUAUUUUACCUUUUGUUUUGGUGGAGACUAGACGAAAGCGCCCCUGCUGGGUGCAUCCAAGGCAGUCCAAGUAGAAAAUUGUAUCUUGCCGGAAUGUCCAAGACCUGGAAAGUGAUCUCGAACGUGUAAGGACCCAUUUAUACUGGUAAAUCAACCUCUUGCUACACGAUUU
Molecule: long non-coding RNA, 546 nt
Filed under: Olea europaea (common olive)
Lineage: Eukaryota; Viridiplantae; Streptophyta; Magnoliopsida; Lamiales; Oleaceae
Description: long non-coding RNA (OEUR_LNC007431)
Source: RNAcentral